This 376-nucleotide ribosomal RNA is filed under the name uncultured organism. RNAcentral's name for it is "partial 16S ribosomal RNA". It matches the Rfam family "Bacterial small subunit ribosomal RNA", at positions 527 to 897 of the family's 1533-position model. The record is from RNAcentral.
GUAGGUGGCAAGCGUUGUCCGGGAAUUAUUGGGGCGUAAAGCGCGCGCAGGCGGUUCUUUAAGUCUGAUGUGAAAGCCCACGGGCUCAACCGUGGAGGGUCAUUGGAAACUGGAGAACUUGAGUACAGAAGAGGAAAGCGGAAUUCCACGUGUAGCGGUGAAAUGCGUAGAGAUGUGGAGGAACACCAGUGACGAAGGCGGCUUUCUGGUCUGUAACUGACGCUGAGGCGCGAAAGCGUGGGGAGCAAACAGGAUUAGAUACCCUGGUAGUCCACGCCGUAAACGAUGAGUGCUAAGUGUUAGGGGGUUUCCGCCCCUUAGUGCUGCAGCUAACGCAUUAAGCACUCCGCCUGGGGAGUACGGCCGCAAAGGCUGA